Molecule: ribosomal RNA, 253 nt
Filed under: uncultured bacterium
Lineage: Bacteria
Description: partial 16S ribosomal RNA
Rfam family: Bacterial small subunit ribosomal RNA
Source: RNAcentral
UACGUAGGGUGCAAGCGUUGUUCGGAAUGACUGGGCGUAAAGAGCACGUAGGCGGGUCUGUAAGUUGGGUGUGAAAUCCCCGGGCUUAACCUGGGAACUGCAUUCAAAACUACAGAUCUUGAAUACCUGAGAGGCUGGCAGAAUUCCGGGUGUAGGAGUGAAAUCCGUAGAUAUCCGGAGGAACAUCGGCGGCGAAGGCGGCCGGCUGGCAGUGUAUUGACGCUGAGGUGCGAAAGCGUGGGGAGCAAACAGG